RNAcentral lists this long non-coding RNA (3754 nucleotides) under Marmota monax (woodchuck). The record is from RNAcentral. Lineage: Eukaryota; Metazoa; Chordata; Mammalia; Rodentia; Sciuridae.
UGACCCAAAUGUAUUCUCUUACAGAUCUGGAUAUCAGAAGCCUAAAAUCAAGAUGUCAGAAGAGCUGUUUCCUCUUCCAGCUUCCGAGGAGAAGCCAGUUCCUUACCUUUUUUGACUAGAGACCACUUGUAUUCUCUGGCUGGUGGCCCCUUCCUCACAUCCCUCCAGCCUCUUGUGGGUAGCAGAAAUAUUUAUAACAUUAUCAUGUUUGCUUUCAACGUGCUUUUUCUUAUCCUCUGAUUUAUUUUCUGAGCCAUUGCUCUUUUUUUAUGGACGUCAUAUUGCCAUAAAUCUCUCUUGAGUGUAAUCGUUUGAUUUUAAAAAUCCUGUUUCCUGAAUUUUCUAUUUUCUCCAACUUCCUUCUUUUGCUUAUUUUGGGCUGCAAGUGAUCCUCACCUGCUUCUUUCCCUUUCACUGAAUCUUUGGUUGCCAAUUCCAGGGUCGAUCAUGGACCUAGUUGGUCUAUACAGUACGUGGCUCUGUUUCAGUGUACAGCUCCUCUUCCCAACCGAGCCUCCAGGGGAUGGUAUGACAGGGCCAUGUGAAUCUUGGCCUACGAUGGUGGGAGAUCAGGGACAUCAGGACAACCAGCAGGUUAACCCUCCUCUGUAGUGAGAGAGACACUUGCCCCGUACCAGGAACCCUCGUCCAGACCUUGGACUCAGCAUGCAAGAGCAGGGAACACCAUGAGGGAGCCUGAAAGAACUUCAAUUUGCCUCCUCCGUCUCUGCUCCUCUCCCCACUUCUCCUGUGCCCACACAGGCAGACAGCUCACCACCUCUUCAGGGAUCUGGCAAGAAGAAAGCCUCCCAUCUGGGCAGGUGCCUUCCCUGAGUUUGGACUCCACCUCCCACUUCUAUGAUGGACACAUCAGGAGAACUACUCCAGUUCUCUGUUCUACUGCAGGAUUCCUUCCUCCUGUUUAGCACCCUUUGACUUUAUUAGAGAGAGAAAGGGGAGAAAGAAGUGUGGGAUCCCUCCACCAUUUGAGCUGAAAGUCUACUGACAGGUUUAAAACGGCAUCAAUUCCUUGGUUCUUGGGUGUCCGGAUUUCAGAAGUCCAGUCUCAGCUGGAAUACCUUGUUAUCAAUUUAUAUGAAAGACAAUGAACUUGUGAAAACCGGGCAGGCUGACAGUGAAAUCGGCAUUUGGGCAGUGAAUUAAGGACGGGAGAUGCCCUGCAGCCUCCUUGGCCAGCUCAGGACGGAUUCCUGGUAAAGGUAGACUCUUUUGCUCCCUUCAAGAGUCACCACAUGGCCACCAGAAAAUAGGAAAUGUCAGGCUACAGGAAAAAGAACUGGCAAUCAGCGAGGAGCAGACCUGCAGAGAGCCACUCCAAGGGUCCAUGUUACAAAAUUUUCCUACAAUCUUCACAACCAGCCCAGAGGCCAGCUGCCCUUUAAAUUCUGGAACCUCUUGGAGCUGGAUCCAUCCAUUUGCCCCAGGGACAUUCACUCACAUUCCAUCUGCAAAAGCAGCAGCCUUUCAGUCUCCCUGCUGACUUUAGAGGUGACGUGGCUGAGGGGUGUGUCCUGUCCUCCUGUGCCCCCCUCAGCCCCUGCCAAUCUAAGGCAGUAGCAGAAGGCAAGAUCUGGGAUGUCCUGCCCAUAAAACUGGAGACUGGCCAUCCAUCUAGGUCCUUGUUGAACACUAGAAGGUGGACAGAGACCCUGUGCGUCAAAAGAGGAACAAGCCCUUGGACUCUGGAGCCUUUGCCAGGUGUGAAGGCAGAAUGGGGUGGAGGAGACACACCCUGCCCUUGUCUCCUCUCUUCUGAUCAUUCUCCCUUUUCAGUGGAUUUUAUUUCCAGUCUGUUAAAAUUGCACAAACAACCAACAUAGACUUCCGAUGGACCCUCUGUUUCUUAUUUUGAUAAAGAUACACUUCAUCCUUAGGAAAGCAUAUGCUUUAUUUAGCAUUUAAUACUAUUAGCGGUAGUGAUUUAUAUACUCAGUAAGUAAUCACUAUUCAUCAAUGUUUUUACAAAUCGUCCACCUUCCUAAGAAGUUGCCUUCCCCACUCCAUCGUAUCCAAAUCACUCAUCUGACCUUCGUUAAAGACCUUUGUUGUCUUCAAAUACCACUUGCUUCCCUACAGUAUAUAGGAGCCAUUAUUAGAAUUUGAAGUCCACUUCUGCAUAAACCAUGGACUCUUGGGUAUUAUCCGUUUUUAUCCAAGUUAUCUUUCUGAGAUGCAUACACUUUUUAAAACAUUGUAUAAACGAUGAUAGAGAAAAUGGCCCAGGCACCUUAGGAAGGGUAGGUUGAAAGGAGACCACAUACCACAUGAAGACUGGGUGGUGGCGGCUCAUUUGGGGCUGGUAGAGGAAAUCAAGGGCUCUUUGACUUGUGUCCUUUCAGCAAAAUUUUUUUUGGUGAUCACCCUUCUCCACUAAAAACCAAUGAGAUACAAUUUCAGUGUCUAAACAUUAUAGGCCAUUUUUUUGCUAGUCAUGUAAUAAUGUGAUAAGUUGCAAAAAUUGACCACAAGUUCCUCCUAUCCCUAUCUGUAUGCCCCUUUGCAAUGUGAAGUCUUUUGUUUUUGUACCCCUGGUAUCUAAACUAGAGACCUGCUCUGAUUAGUAGAAUGUGGAAGUUCUUAUCAUAGUCCUCAAGAGGAGUAUGGCUUCUGAUUUUGCUGUAUUGCUGUACUGAGGCUCAGGUGAAAAAAUCCUGAACCAGCCUUCUAGAGAUUUAGAAUACAGGAAGCAGAGAUGGACUGUCACACCUGAGGACCACUAGCUCUCCCUCAGUACAUCCAUGGAUUGCAGCUAUAGAAGUCUCUCAAGUGAAAUGAGCAGAAGAACCACUCUGCUGAGCCCAACUCCAGAAAUGACCCAGAGGAUCAAGUACAAGUAGAAUGGUGGUUGUUUUAAGUUAUUAGGUUCAGGGAGUUGCUUAUUAUAGGUACAGACAACAGGCAAUUAGUGUAUAUAUUCUCUAUUUUCCCAAUAUGGCUUAGCCUGGGCAGGCUAGGUUGUGUUUUAGUAACAAGCAACUCUAAACGUUUGGCAGCUUAGCCUAUCGAAAUUAAUAUCUUAUGCAUUGAUUGUGGCUCACCUGGGGGUUUUAUUCCUCUUUUCUACACUAUGGCAUGUAGGUUGAUAUAACUAGUGUUUCUGGGGCUCUGGCAGAGAAAACAGGCCUCUAAAGAUCAUUUCACUUGCAAUUGAAUUUUCUAUAUUCACGCGACAAACAUCAUUUCUGUGUACAACUUAUUGAUGGAAAGUAGUCCUGUGGCUUCACCCGACAACAGGAGGUCAGGAAACACAGGUCUGAAAUGUAGAGGGCCAGGAGAGGAGGAGGCAGAGGUGGAAGGUCAGGAAGGAGGUGGAGGCAGAGGUGGAGAGCCGGUAUCUUUGAUAACACCAUCAGCAAUGACUGAUAAGUCAAUUCUCUAGGAGGAAAAAUUUUGCAAGUCUGCUAUACAGAAGGAGUGGAGGAAGGUGCAGGCAGUGUACCCCGAGUUGCAUAUCAUCAUAUUUACUGAAUACUGCUUCAUCUUUUACUCAGUAAUGGCAUCCUCAGACUCAACUUUUCCCUUUCUCAGUUUGUUUCUGAGGUGGACAAACCUCUUCGUCCUAAGUGAUUUUGUGUUUCACAGUCAAAAUUAAAUCUGAUGGAACUUGGCGACAUUUCCUAUGCUCUUUUGGAGGAAAAAGAGUCCUUUUUCAGAACUCAUAAGAAGAGAUGAUCUCCUUGAAGAUUUAACUUCAAAAUGAAGAGUGUCCCACCUCUGAAAACAACCAGAAAGC